UCAAGCGAACAAGUGCAUGUGGUGGAUGCCUUGGCGAUCACAGGCGAUGAAGGACGCGGUAGCCUGCGAAAAGCUUCGGGGAGCUGGCAAACAAGCUUUGAUCCGGAGAUGUCCGAAUGGGGAAACCCGGCCCGUAUGGGUCAUCCCACACUGAAUUCAUAGGUGUGGGAAGCGAACGCGGCGAACUGAAACAUCUAAGUAGCUGCAGGAACAGAAAUCAACCGAGAUUCCCAAAGUAGUGGCGAACGAAAUGGGAAGAGCCUUGUACUCUUUAGCAGUGGUGUUAGCAGAACGGGAUGGAAAGCCCGGCCAUAGCAGGUGAUAGCCCUGUAUGCGAAAACACGAUUGUGGAACUAGGUGUACGACAAGUAGGGCGGGACACGUGAAAUCCUGUCUGAAGAUGGGGGGACCAUCCUCCAAGGCUAAAUACUCGUGAUCGACCGAUAGUGAACCAGUACCGUGAGGGAAAGGCGAAAAGAACCCCGGGAGGGGAGUGAAAUAGAUCCUGAAACCGCAUGCAUACAAACAGUCGGAGCCCUUUCGGGGGUGACGGCGUACCUUUUGUAUAAUGGGUCAGCGACUUACAUUCAGUGGCAAGCUUAACCGAUUAGGGCAGGCGUAGCGAAAGCGAGUCCGAACAGGGCGUUGAGUCGCUGGGUGUAGACCCGAAACCAGAUGAUCUAUCCAUGGCCAGGUUGAAGGUGCGGUAACACGUACUGGAGGACCGAACCCACUAACGUUGAAAAGUUAGGGGAUGAGCUGUGGAUAGGGGUGAAAGGCUAAACAAAUCUGGAAAUAGCUGGUUCUCUCCGAAAACUAUUUAGGUAGUGCCUCGUGUCUCACCUUCGGGGGUAGAGCACUGUCAUGGUUGGGGGGUCUAUUGCUGAUUACCCCGCCAUAGCAAACUCCGAAUACCGAAGAGUGCAAUCACGGGAGACAGACAUCGGGUGCUAACGUCCGGUGUCAAGAGGGAAACAACCCAGACCGCCAGCUAAGGUCCCCAAAUAUAGCUAAGUGGGAAACGAAGUGGGAAGGCUAAAACAGUCAGGAGGUUGGCUUAGAAGCAGCCACCCUUUAAAGAAAGCGUAAUAGCUCACUGAUCGAGUCGUCCUGCGCGGAAGAUGUAACGGGGCUAAGCUAUAUACCGAAGCUGCGGACGCGUGCGCUCCUUUAAGUGCACCAAGCUUGUCGAUGCGCAGCAUCGACAAAGCCACCAACAAUGAUCGAUGGUGGUUGUGCUAGUGGAUUUAAAGGAGCGUACGCGUGGUAGGAGAGCGUUCUGUAAGCCUGUGAAGGUGUCUUGUAAAGGAUGCUGGAGGUAUCAGAAGUGCGAAUGCUGACAUGAGUAGCGAUAAAGGGGGUGAAAGGCCCCCUCGCCGUAAGCCCAAGGUUUCCUACGCAACGUUCAUCGGCGUAGGGUGAGUCGGCCCCUAAGGCGAGGCAGAGAUGCGUAGCUGAUGGGAAGCAGGUUAAUAUUCCUGCACCGUCGUAUGAUGCGAUGGGGGGACGGAUCGCGGAAGGUUGUCCGGGUGUUGGAAGUCCCGGUCCCUGCAUUGGAGAAGGCGCUCAGGCAAAUCCGGGCGCGGGAUUCAAGGAUGUGGGGCGAGCGGCCUAGUGCUGCGAAGCAAUUGGAAGUGGUUCCAAGAAAAGCCUCUAAGCUUCAGUCAUACGAGACCGUACCGCAAACCGACACAGGUGGGCGAGAUGAGUAUUCUAAGGCGCUUGAGAGAACUCGGGAGAAGGAACUCGGCAAAUUGGUACCGUAACUUCGGGAUAAGGUACGCCCUGGUAGCUUGACUGGCCUGCGCCAGAAGGGUGAAGGGGUUGCAAUAAAAUGGUGGCUGCGACUGUUUAAUAAAAACACAGCACUCUGCAAACACGAAAGUGGACGUAUAGGGUGUGACGCCUGCCCGGUGCCGGAAGAUUAAAUGAUGGGGUGCAAGCUCUUGAUUGAAGUCCCGGUAAACGGCGGCCGUAACUAUAACGGUCCUAAGGUAGCGAAAUUCCUUGUCGGGUAAGUUCCGACCUGCACGAAUGGCGUAACGAUGGCCACACUGUCUCCUCCCGAGACUCAGCGAAGUUGAAGUGUUUGUGAUGAUGCAAUCUCCCCGCGGCUAGACGGAAAGACCCCAUGAACCUUUACUGUAGCUUUGCAUUGGACUUUGAACCGAUCUGUGUAGGAUAGGUGGGAGGCUUUGAAGCGUGGACGCCAGUUCACGUGGAGCCGUCCUUGAAAUACCACCCUGGUUUGUUUGAGGUUCUAACCUUGGCCCGUGAAUCCGGGUCGGGGACAGUGCAUGGUAGGCAGUUUGACUGGGGCGGUCUCCUCCCAAAGUGUAACGGAGGAGUUCGAAGGUACGCUUGGUACGGUCGGACAUCGUACCUAAAGUGCAAUGGCAAAAGCGUGCUUAACUGCGAGACCGACAAGUCGAGCAGGUGCGAAAGCAGGACAUAGUGAUCCGGUGGUUCUGAAUGGAAGGGCCAUCGCUCAACGGAUAAAAGGUACUCUGGGGAUAACAGGCUGAUACCGCCCAAGAGUUCAUAUCGACGGCGGUGUUUGGCACCUCGAUGUCGGCUCAUCUCAUCCUGGGGCUGUAGCCGGUCCCAAGGGUAUGGCUGUUCGCCAUUUAAAGAGGUACGUGAGCUGGGUUUAAAACGUCGUGAGACAGUUUGGUCCCUAUCUGCCGUGGGCGUUGGAAUCUUGACGGGGGCUGCUCCUAGUACGAGAGGACCGGAGUGGACGUACCGCUGGUGUACCUGUUGUCUCGCCAGAGGCAUCGCAGGGUAGCUAUGUACGGAAGAGAUAACCGCUGAAAGCAUCUAAGCGGGAAACUCGCCUGAAGAUGAGGAUUCCCUGGAGGCUUGACCUCCUUGAAGGGUCGUUCGAGACCAGGACGUUGAUAGGCUGGGUGUGGAAGCGCAGUAAUGCGUUAAGCUAACCAGUACUAAUUGCCCGUAAGGCUUGAUCCU
This 2970-nucleotide ribosomal RNA is filed under the name Cupriavidus taiwanensis. Its description in RNAcentral is "bacterial LSU rRNA". It matches the Rfam family "Bacterial large subunit ribosomal RNA". Lineage: Bacteria; Pseudomonadati; Pseudomonadota; Betaproteobacteria; Burkholderiales; Burkholderiaceae. The record is from RNAcentral.